CAAGCUACCAUUCGCACUUGCUCUAUCUGCGGGGUUGAGAAUGAGAGUACUUUCCAUGCUCUUGUUUCUUGCCCAAAGGCUCGUGCACUUCGUUUGGCGUUGAGAAAAGUGUGGAAUUUGCCAGGGGAAGAGGCUUUUAAUUAUACUGGGCCUGACUGGUUACUUAUUUUAUUAGACCAGUUAAGUUGUUCGCAAAGGGAGCACAUCUUGUUUCUUUUCUGGCGAGUUUGGCACUUAAGGAAUGAUUUAAUUUUUGGUAAAGGAAAAGAAACUGUUAUAGGAUCCGCCAUGUUUCUGGAGAGUUACUGGUUGGCAUUUUCAUCGUGUCAGCCUACAAAUGAGGUAGUCACCAAUAACAAAGGAAAAGAGGUGGUGGCUGGUUUUAGUGCAAGUAAUACUGUUGUGAGGUCCAGAGAGGUGUGGCAGACGCCUCCUUUUGGCCACAUCAAGAUCAAUGUCGAUGCAAGUUUUGUGGAGAGUUUAAGUGUCGCGAGCGUUGGGGUGGUGGCCAAGAGCUCUACGGGUGACAUCAUUGUCUCAUCUUGGGACUUCAUUGGGUUAUGCUCUAGUAUGGAUGAAGAGGAGCUUCGAGCAUGCCUAGCUGGGCUUUAUAUAGGUAUUUCUCUUAACAUGCCUAUUAUUUUGGAAACUGAUUGUGCGUUCGUGGCUUCUUUCCUAGCAAAUAAAAGUUGUGACAGAUCCUCGCUCAUAGACCUCAAGAAGGAAGCACUUAGCAUCAUCAAGCUUCUGGAAACUUCAAGUCGUCAAAAAUAA
This 774-nucleotide ribosomal RNA is filed under the name Triticum aestivum (bread wheat). Its description in RNAcentral is "partial small subunit ribosomal RNA". The record is from RNAcentral. Lineage: Eukaryota; Viridiplantae; Streptophyta; Magnoliopsida; Poales; Poaceae.